GCUUCAGGUUUAUGUUUGGAUCAGCUAUAAAAUUUCGGUGAAAAGCAAAAGGGAUGGCGAGUUGUCUAUGGAGGAGUCAUCCCCAACAACUAAUUCAAUAUCGCCAUCACUCCUCCGCCUUAUCCGAUUAUCAUUCUCUUCAUCCCUGUCAUCUGUAUGACCGCCGCCUUUGUAAUUUCUCAGUCACAACCCGUCCCCGC
Molecule: unclassified non-coding RNA, 200 nt
Filed under: Hevea brasiliensis (rubber tree)
Lineage: Eukaryota; Viridiplantae; Streptophyta; Magnoliopsida; Malpighiales; Euphorbiaceae
Source: RNAcentral